GCCCGGGUGGUGAAAUUGGUAGACACAAGGGACUUAAAAUCCCUCGCUUUUAACGGCGUGCCGGUUCGAUUCCGGCCCCGGGCACCA
Molecule: transfer RNA, 87 nt
Filed under: Betaproteobacteria bacterium
Lineage: Bacteria; Pseudomonadati; Pseudomonadota; Betaproteobacteria
Also listed under: 2 other names
Description: tRNA-Leu
Rfam family: tRNA
About the family: Transfer RNA (tRNA) molecules are approximately 80 nucleotides in length. Their secondary structure includes four short double-helical elements and three loops (D, anti-codon, and T loops). Further hydrogen bonds mediate the characteristic L-shaped molecular structure. tRNAs have two regions of fundamental functional importance: the anti-codon, which is responsible for specific mRNA codon recognition, and the 3' end, to which the tRNAs corresponding amino acid is attached (by aminoacyl-tRNA synthetases). tRNAs cope with the degeneracy of the genetic code in two manners: having more than one tRNA (with a specific anti-codon) for a particular amino acid; and 'wobble' base-pairing, i.e. permitting non-standard base-pairing at the 3rd anti-codon position.
Source: RNAcentral